Molecule: long non-coding RNA, 1856 nt
Filed under: Schizosaccharomyces pombe (fission yeast)
Lineage: Eukaryota; Fungi; Ascomycota; Schizosaccharomycetes; Schizosaccharomycetales; Schizosaccharomycetaceae
Description: non-coding RNA, possible alternative UTR
Source: RNAcentral
GAGUUGUUGAAAAUGAAGAUUUCGUGCAACCGUCAUUACUGUUGCCAAAUCAGUACCAGCGGCUAUUGCUUGACGAUUCAGAAUUUCAGUAAUUUGUUCCCGUGUAGCACCUCUAGCUUUUAAUUGAGAGGCACGCUGUUGAAACAAAAUUGCAAGUUGUCGUAUUUUUAUCAAAUCCACGGAUUCUCGUUUUAACAUAGGUUCAUUUGCAGGUACAGGACCCGAAGGUAAAAAGUUUCCUAAAGCUGUUAGAAAAAUAAAUACAAAAUUAAAAUAAAAUUGAAUUGAACUCAAAAAGUACUGAAAUAAGCCUUUAAUACACUUACCAGUCGCAUUGGGGGGCGAUUCAGAAGAUGCCGCAUUAGCUGGGAAUUUCUGCAUAGGUUUCGGAGGGGGAAUUUGAAUACUACUAGGUGGUAGACGUUGGAUUUUGGGUGUAGUUUUUCUUUGAACUGGAGCAGACUGAACCAAAUGUGCGGGUGGUUGCUGAGCUUUCGGUGAUUGCUGCUGCUGCGCUUUUUGUUGCUGUUGCAUUUGCAUUUGCCUUUGUUGUAGAAUAGCUCGUUUACGCCGCACAUUCUCAAUAAAUUGUAGUCUUUGAAAGGUAGGUUGAAAAUCGCGUUUUCUUUGGUCAUCCAUUAGUAACAAAAGGUUCUCUUUUUCAAGUCUUUCUGCUUCUUCAUCAGCAAGUUGGGCUGAUCCUUGAGGUUUCUUUCUGGUGCAUGGUGGUGCAGAGUCGGCCAACUGGUUCAUAAAUUGAAUCAUUUCCGCUUUAGACUUCGCAGGAGUUAAGAAAAGUGGAGCUUCUGACGCUAGUAGAAUGUUGGAUUCCAAAGUCAAAACAGCUUCAUCCGAAAGUGAGUUAGCAAAGCUUUCUGAAAGUAAACAUAAAUCUUGCCAAAGUGUUUCGGGAGUAGGACGAAGAACUGUAUGAUACACUGGAGGUGAAUUAGUAUUGGGUUUGGUAUCUUCAGGUUGAUUAUUAAUUGGGUUGGUGUUAUUUUGCUGCUGUUGAUUAGUAGAGCCAGGCUGAGGUUGCACAGUCUGAUCAGCAGAAGGACUUUGCCGAUGAUCUAUUAUACGAACCGUUAAGCAACCAUCAUAGAAUUUUACAUCGGAAUUCCGAAAUACUUCAAGACAAUCAGGUGGUAUAAGCUCCAUCCUUAUAUAUUGCAAAAUUGAUUUUACCGGCCCAUUAUAGGUGAAGGCGCCAUCUUGUUGCUCAAACCGAAAAUGAAAUUUAUGAAUAUGAAGAAUUAAACUCGGCUCUUCUUUCGAAAAUUUAUGUUCAAUAUCAUGCAAUUUUCUGGGAACUUGAGUAUUAUGUCAGUUAGAGUCGAUAAAAUCAAAUACGCAAAAAAACCAAAGAAGCAAAACUUCCUCAACACUACUUACCAUUAAAAUUCGAAACGUUUUCAUAAAUUUUUGAUAAAAAUGCAUCAUCUGAGGAUUCAAUUCCUUGUUUAUUCUGAAAAUCGUCCAAACUCAAUUCCUUCCCAUGAUAGCGAUACGUAUAGUCGCCCAAACCAUUAUUUCUUUCCAUCUCUUAGUUCAACGAACUAUACCAGUAAUUGUAAAACAAUAUUCCCCCUAUGUUUACAAUUAAAAUUAUAAGCUGGUUAAAUUCUUCAAAUCCUACUAGGUUAGAUAGAUAGAAGCGUUUGCUCACAUAACGAAAUGUAAUGAUGCGUUAUUAAUGGUAUCGAAGUUCAAGAUUUCGUUAAUAGUUUUGCAGUUUACGCGCUUCAAAGCCCUAAUCCAAAAUAGCCUCUAGCUUGAGCAGUUCUGGCAUUAUCGUUUUCCUCCACCGCAGCAAGUUCUUGUUGGCAUGAUUCAUUCUGCGUUUACUUUUGACU